RNAcentral lists this ribosomal RNA (274 nucleotides) under uncultured bacterium. RNAcentral describes it as "partial 16S ribosomal RNA". It matches the Rfam family "Bacterial small subunit ribosomal RNA", at positions 523 to 796 of the family's 1533-position model. The record is from RNAcentral.
AUACGGAGGGUGCAAGCGUUACUCGGAAUCACUGGGCGUAAAGCGCGCGCAGGCGGCUAUUUAAGUUGGAUGUGAAAGCCUAUGGCUCAACCAUAGAUCUGCAUCCAAAACUAUUUAGCUAGAGUGUGGGAGAGGAAGAUGGAAUUAGUUGUGUAGGGGUAAAAUCCGUAGAGAUAACUAGGAAUACCAAAAGCGAAGGCAAUCUUCUGGAACACUACUGACGCUGAGGCGCGAAAGCGUGGGGAGCAAACAGGAUUAGAAACCCUAGUAGUCC